RNAcentral lists this long non-coding RNA (336 nucleotides) under Actinidia chinensis (golden kiwifruit). Its description in RNAcentral is "long non-coding RNA (ACHI_LNC003797)". Lineage: Eukaryota; Viridiplantae; Streptophyta; Magnoliopsida; Ericales; Actinidiaceae. The record is from RNAcentral.
UUGGUAUCGUAUUCCUCGCAGAAAAGCCAAAGGAUAAGACUCGGUCAUACGGAAUAAAUUUAGCAUAUAUGUAAUGAGGUCACUGAAUAAAGCAAGUUUACAGUAGGUCUUACAAGACCACAAAACAACAAGUUUCUAGAUGCGAAUUUAAUGGACCCUACUUGUGAAGCAAACAACUUCCUUUUAGAUUUUGGACCAGGGACAAGACAUUACAAAAGUUAAAGAAUGAGAGGGAGAGGGAGAGGGAGAGGGAAUCACAUUGUUGCAAGAUUCUAAAUAACUAAUUUAAAAACAUUUCUUAUACACCCCAAAUCAUAUUAAAAAUCACAAUAAAUU